UGUUGUUGAGCGCCGGUGCGGUCCGGCGGCCCCUGAAACGGGCCGCCCGGCAUUUCCCCGGAGCUUCGAUCGCCCUUGCGGCGC
Molecule: transfer RNA, 84 nt
Filed under: Shinella yambaruensis
Lineage: Bacteria; Pseudomonadati; Pseudomonadota; Alphaproteobacteria; Hyphomicrobiales; Rhizobiaceae
Description: tRNA-Phe
Source: RNAcentral